CAAUUGUCAAUAAUAGCACAUUUUGAAGUUUAUGUCUCAAAAAUAGCACUAGAAGGAGAAAGUCACAAAAAUGACAUUCAUUAAAGGGUAAAAUAUCCCUAAUGCCAUUGGUUUAAAAUUAAAUAAACAAACAAAAAUAAAUAAAAUAAAAAUAAAAAAAAAAAUUUUUUUUUAUAGUUUCAGAUUAUAUGUUUUCAGAUUCGAAAUUUUUAUAAUUUUUGUUUGAAAUUUUUUUUUGAAAUAGUUUUUUAUUUUUUUAAAUCUUAUUUUUAUAAUUUAAAAAUACUUUUUGAAACUGUUUUUUAAAUUUUUAUUUUUUAUUUUAGUAUUUAUUUUUUAUAAAAUUUUAAACCCUAAUUCCAAAACCCCUCCCCUUGACUCUAAACUCUAAGGUUUGGAUUAAUUAACCCAAGGGGUAUAAGUGUAUAUUUACCUAUUUAAUGAAACCUAUUUUUGUGACUUUGAGCCUUGAGUGCUACUUUGGGGACAAAAACUUGGUUUGGUGCUAUCCUAAUCUUUUUCUCUUCUAAGAAUCAUCCUAGUGAUGACACAUGAUUAUAAAAACAUGUUGUAAACUUCUAAUGCUCCAGGAUUAAUAUAUAGAGAAUGUUUGAAUUUAUAUUAUUUAUUAUUUUGUAAGUUAUAGAGAUAUGAUUGGAGUCCCAAAAUUAAAGUUGUAAUCAACAAGUUUAUUUAUUAUUAUCAAAGUAAAAGUGUACUGGAUAAAGUUUAUAUUAUAAUCUUACUUUAAUCUUAUCAAAUUAUUAUUGCCUUUUUCAAAUAUAGAAUUUUACUGUAUGGUUUUAUAAUAGGGCAAUUCUCCUAAAUAGAUUUUUUAAGUUUUUGUCAUAAAAAGAUUUCUAAA
This 865-nucleotide long non-coding RNA is filed under the name Brassica rapa (field mustard). RNAcentral describes it as "long non-coding RNA (BRAP_LNC005322)". The record is from RNAcentral. Lineage: Eukaryota; Viridiplantae; Streptophyta; Magnoliopsida; Brassicales; Brassicaceae.